RNAcentral lists this ribosomal RNA (533 nucleotides) under uncultured marine bacterium. Its description in RNAcentral is "bacterial SSU rRNA". It matches the Rfam family "Bacterial small subunit ribosomal RNA", at positions 11 to 526 of the family's 1533-position model. The record is from RNAcentral.
GUUUGAUCCUGGCUCAGGACGAACGCUGGCGGCGUGCCUAAUACAUGCAAGUCGAGCGGACCGACGGGAGCUUGCUCCCUUAGGUCAGCGNCGGACGGGUGAGUAACACGUGGGUAACCUGCCUGUAAGACUGGGAUAACUCCGGGAAACCGGGCUAAUACCGGAUGCUUGAUUGAACCGCAUGGUUCAAUCAUAAAAGGUGGCUUUUAGCUACCACUUACAGAUGGACCCGCGGCGCAUUAGCUAGUUGGUGAGGUAACGGCUCACCAAGGCGACGAUGCGUAGCCGACCUGAGAGGGUGAUCGGCCACACUGGGACUGAGACACGGCCCAGACUCCUACGGGAGGCAGCAGUAGGGAAUCUUCCGCAAUGGACGAAAGUCUGACGGAGCAACGCCGCGUGAGUGAUGAAGGUUUUCGGAUCGUAAAACUCUGUUGUUAGGGAAGAACAAGUACCGUUCGAAUAGGGCGGUACCUUGACGGUACCUAACCAGAAAGCCACGGCUAACUACGUGCCAGCAGCCGCGGUAAUAC